GGAGCUCUCCCAUAUGGUCGACCUGCAGGCGGCCGCGAAUUCACUAGUGAUUGUUUGAUCCUGGCUCAGAUUGAACGCUGGCGGCAGGCUUAACACAUGCAAGUCGAACGGUAACAGAGAAUAGCUUGCUAUUCUGCUGACGAGUGGCGGACGGGUGAGUAAUGCUUGGGAAUUUGCCGAAAGGUGGGGGACAACAGUUGGAAACGACUGCUAAUACCGCAUAAUGUCUACGGACCAAAGGUGGCCUCUAUUUAUAUGCUAUCGCCUUUCGAUGAGCCCAAGUGGGAUUAGCUAGUUGGUAAGGUAAUGGCUUACCAAGGCGACGAUCCCUAGCUGGUCUUAGAGGAUGACCAGCCACACUGGAACUGAGACACGGUCCAGACUCCUACGGGAGGCAGCAGUGGGGAAUAUUGCACAAUGGGGGAAACCCUGAUGCAGCCAUGCCGCGUGUGUGAAGAAGGCUUUCGGGUUGUAAAGCACUUUCAGCGAGGAGGAAAGGGUGAUGGCUAAUAUCCAUUAUCUGUGACGUUACUCGCAGAAGAAGCACCGGCUAACUCCGUGCCAGCAGCCGCGGUAAUACGGAGGGUGCAAGCGUUAAUCGGAAUUACUGGGCGUAAAGCGCGCGUAGGUGGUUAAUUAAGUCAGAUGUGAAAGCCCAGGGCUCAACCUUGGAACUGCAUUUGAAACUGGUUGACUAGAGUUUUGUAGAGGGUGAUAGAAUUUCAGGUGUAGCGGUGAAAUGCGUAGAGAUCUGAAGGAAUACCAGUGGCGAAGGCGGCCACCUGGACAAAGGCUGACACUGAGGCGCGAAGGCGGUGGGGAGCAAACGGGAUUAGAUACCCCGGUAGUCCACGCAGUAAACGAUGUCUAUUAGAAGUUUGUGGCUAUAUGCCGUGGGUUUCAAAGCUAACGCAUUAAAUA
RNAcentral lists this ribosomal RNA (921 nucleotides) under Alteromonadales bacterium. RNAcentral describes it as "bacterial SSU rRNA". It matches the Rfam family "Bacterial small subunit ribosomal RNA", at positions 1 to 866 of the family's 1533-position model. Lineage: Bacteria; Pseudomonadati; Pseudomonadota; Gammaproteobacteria; Alteromonadales. The record is from RNAcentral.